CUCCCCCGCCCCCGCCCCCCGCUCUGCCGCGGGCCCCCGCCCGCCGCGGGCCGAGAGCUCGGCGCGCUCGACCCCGGGUCCCGCCUCCCCGAGGUUUUCGCUUUCGCUUUCCCGCUGAUGUCGUUGGGGAAAAUUAAGCUGCCGAGGCCAGGCUGGCGCAGAAGCCGUUCCUGGCGAGGGGCGCAGAGCACGGCRGCGGCGGCGGCCGGCCUGGAACCCGGGUCCCGCUGCCCGCGCCGGGCGAGGCAUGAAGACCUUCUCUGCAAAAUCCCUUUCUGGCCAGUCUCCCUGGGCUACCCGCUUGUAAAGGAGAUGUUAUCACCUCCCAGACUUUGCUCAGUGGAUUGCUCCAUCCUCCUUGGAAUCCCUUCUCCUAAUGUUCUUGCCACUACUUCUCCAACUGAGUUGCUGAGCUGUUGAGUGGCAUGCCGUCCUUGGAUGGCUUCUCCACCGACUUCCAUUCUACAUCAUGGUCAUCUUGACUUCGAAGAGCUACAUGCUGAACACUCACAAAUAUUCAUUUCCAGACUCUCCCCUGGAUAUCUCCAGCCAAGUGUCCAAAAGACAUCUCACACGAAACAUGUCUGUGUUAGCUUUUCAUCACUGUGACCAGAAUACCUGACAAGAACAACUUAGAGGAGGAAAGCUAUUUUUGGGCUCUCAGUUUCUGAGGAUUCAGUCUAUGGCAGCUGGCUCCAUUCCGUUGAACCUGAGGUGAGGCAGAACAUCAUGGUAGAAGUGGGUGGUAAAGAACUGCUCAAUUCAUGGCAGCCAGAAAGAAAACCUUCUAAGACGCUGGGGCUGUAGCUCAGUGGCAGAGCCCUUGCCUAGCAUGUGUGAGACACUGACUGGAUUCGAUUCUUAGCAUCACACAAUUAAUAAAUAAAAUAAAGAAACUUCUUGUAGGGAACA
This 912-nucleotide long non-coding RNA is filed under the name Urocitellus parryii (Arctic ground squirrel). Its description in RNAcentral is "lncRNA (ENSUPAG00010016107.1)". The record is from RNAcentral. Lineage: Eukaryota; Metazoa; Chordata; Mammalia; Rodentia; Sciuridae.